RNAcentral lists this ribosomal RNA (429 nucleotides) under bacterium. Its description in RNAcentral is "partial 16S ribosomal RNA". It matches the Rfam family "Bacterial small subunit ribosomal RNA", at positions 355 to 776 of the family's 1533-position model. The record is from RNAcentral.
UAGGGAAUCUUCCACAAUGGACGCAAGUCUGAUGGAGCAACGCCGCGUGAGUGAAGAAGGUUUUCGGAUCGUAAAGCUCUGUUGUUGGUGAAGAAGGAUAGAGGCAGUAACUGGUCUUUAUUUGACGGUAAUCAACCAGAAAGUCACGGCUAACUACGUGCCAGCAGCCGCGGUAAUACGUAGGUGGCAAGCGUUGUCCGGAUUUAUUGGGCGUAAAGCGAGCGCAGGCGGAAUGAUAAGUCUGAUGUGAAAGCCCACGGCUCAACCGUGGGACUGCAUCGGAAACUGUCAUUCUUGAGUGCAGAAGAGGAGAGUGGAAUUCCAGGUGUAGCGGUGGAAUGCGUAGAUAUAUGGAAGAACACCAGUGGCGAAGGCGGCUCUCUGGUCUGCAACUGACGCUGAGGCUCGAAAGCAUGGGUAGCGAAAAGG